RNAcentral lists this ribosomal RNA (253 nucleotides) under uncultured bacterium. Its description in RNAcentral is "partial 16S ribosomal RNA". It matches the Rfam family "Bacterial small subunit ribosomal RNA", at positions 524 to 776 of the family's 1533-position model. The record is from RNAcentral.
UACAGAGGUCCCGAGCGUUGUUCGGAUUCACUGGGCGUAAAGGGUGCGUAGGUGGCGAGGUAAGUCGGAUGUGAAAGCUCGGAGCUCAACUCCGAAAUGGCAUUGGAAACUACCUUGCUCGAGGGUUGGAGGGGGGACUGAAAUACUUGGUGUAGCAGUGAAAUGCGUAGAUAUCAAGUGGAACACCAGUGGCGAAGGCGAGUCCCUGGACAACUCCUGACACUGAGGCACGAAAGCUAGGGGAGCAAACAGG